This 136-nucleotide ribosomal RNA is filed under the name uncultured eukaryote. RNAcentral's name for it is "partial 18S ribosomal RNA". It matches the Rfam family "Eukaryotic small subunit ribosomal RNA", at positions 1299 to 1457 of the family's 1831-position model. The record is from RNAcentral.
UCGUGCAGUAAUCUGUCAGGUCAAUUCCACUAACGAACGAGACCUCAACCUGCUAGUUAGUAUUCUAGGCUUUGGCCUACAACUACUUCUUAGAGGGACUCUGUGUGCAAACACAAGGAAGCUUGAGGCAAUAACG